Molecule: ribosomal RNA, 429 nt
Filed under: Chloroflexota bacterium
Lineage: Bacteria; Bacillati; Chloroflexota
Description: Chloroflexi bacterium partial 16S ribosomal RNA
Rfam family: Bacterial small subunit ribosomal RNA
Source: RNAcentral
UGGGGAAUAUUGCACAAUGGGCGCAAGCCUGAUGCAGCCAUGCCGCGUGUAUGAAGAAGGCCUUCGGGUUGUAAAGUACUUUCAGUCGGGAGGAAGGUGGUAAGGUUAAUAACCUUAUCAAUCGACGUUACCGACAGAAGAAGCACCGGCUAACUCCGUGCCAGCAGCCGCGGUAAUACGGAGGGUGCAAGCGUUAACCGGAAUUACUGGGCGUAAAGCGCACGCAGGCGGUUUGUUAAGUCAGAUGUGAAAUCACCGAGCUCAACCUGGGAACUGCAUCUGAUCCUGGAGAGCUUGAGUCUCGUAGAGGGGGGUAGAAGUCCAGGUGUAGCGGUGAAAUGCGUAGAGAUCUGGCGGCAUACCGGUGGCGCAGGCGGCCCCCUGGACGAAGACUGCCGCUCAGGUGAGAACGCGUGGGGAGCAAACAGG